AGGGUUUGAUCAUGGCUCAGAACGUACGCUGGCGGCACGCCUAACACAUGCAAGUCGAACGAAGUAGUAAUACUUAGUGGCAGACGGGUGAGUAACAUGUAGGUAUCUGCCCUUUGGCCUGGAAUAACACGAGGAAACUUGUGCUAAUACCGGAUAAGUCUUUACGGAGAAAGCUUUAUGCACCAUUGGAUGAGCCUGCACUUGAUUAGUUUGUUGGUGGGGUAAUGGCCUACCAAGACUGUGAUCAAUAGCUGAUUUGAGAGGAUGAUCAGCCACAUUGGGACUGAGACACGGCCCAAACUCCUACGGGAGGCAGCAGUGGGGAAUCUUGCACAAUGGAGGAAACUCUGAUGCAGCGAUGCCGCGUGAGUGAAGAAGGCCUUUGGGUUGUAAAGCUCUUUCGUCGGGGAAGAAAAUGACUGUACCCGAAUAAGAAGGUCCGGCUAACUUCGUGCCAGCAGCCGCGGUAAUACGAAGGGACCUAGCGUAGUUCGGAAUUACUGGGCUUAAAGAGUUCGUAGGUGGUUGAAAAAGUUGGUGGUGAAAUCCCAGAGCUUAACUCUGGAACUGCCAUCAAAACUUUUCAGCUAGAGUAUGAUAGAGGAAAGCAGAAUUUCUAGUGUAGAGGUGAAAUUCGUAGAUAUUAGAAAGAAUACCAAUUGCGAAGGCAGCUUUCUGGAUCAUUACUGACACUGAGGAACGAAAGCAUGGGUAGCGAAGAGGAUUAGAUACCCUCGUAGUCCAUGCCGUAAACGAUGUGUGUUAGACGUUGGAAAUUUAUUUUCAGUGUCGCAGCGAAAGCGAUAAACACACCGCCUGGGGAGUACGACCGCAAGGUUAAAACUCAAAUGAAUUGACGGGGACCCGCACAAGUAGUGGAGCAUGUGGUUUAAUUCGAAGAUACGCGCAGAACCUUACCAACACUUGACAUGUUCGUCGCGACUUUAAGAGAUUAAAGUUUUCGGUUCGGCCGGACGAAACACAGGUGCUGCAUGGCUGUCGUCAGCUCGUGUCGUGAGAUGUUGGGUUAAGUCCCGCAACGAGCGCAACCCUCACUUUUAGUUGCCAUCAUUAAGUUGGGCACUCUGAAAGAACUGCCAGUGAUAAGCUGGAGGAAGGUGGGGAUGACGUCAAGUCCUCAUGGCCCUUACGUGUUGGGCUACACACGUGCUACAAUGGUAUCUACAACAGGAAGCAAAACCGCGAGGUUAAGCAAAUCCUUAAAAGAUACCUCAGUUCGGAUUGCACUCUGCAACUCGAGUGCAUGAAGCUGGAAUUACUAGUAAUCGUGGAUCAGCGUGCCACGGUGAAUGCGUUCCCGGGUCUUGUACACACCGCCCGUCACACCAUGGGAGUUGGUUCUACCUUAAGGCAAGGUUUCAAACCCUUGACCACGGUAUAGUCAGCGACUGGGGUGAAGUCAUAACAAGGUAACCGUA
This 1439-nucleotide ribosomal RNA is filed under the name uncultured bacterium. RNAcentral's name for it is "bacterial SSU rRNA". It matches the Rfam family "Bacterial small subunit ribosomal RNA". The record is from RNAcentral.